UUUUUUUUUUUUGUCGUAACCACACAUUGCCUCAGUUCGUCGCUGGUACGAGCGCGAGGCGCACGGAAUCGUUCCGUUUCGGUCUCUCUUCUCGCAGUGGAAUUUGGGCCUGGCGUGCAAUUGGGCUGGGAUUUUAGCCCAUCUGUCGAUCGUCGCGUGGAGGCUACUAUACAUACAGUACACGUACACGCGUAUGACAACGACAUUAGUACCGUAUCGUUGUCCUACUCUCAGCGAACCAGCCUCAAAUAAGCGCGUCGCGGCCCACCAUUCGGGGUUGGUAGGAGGGCAAAGAUGGGCCUGAGCAGACGUUGUUAAAAGCGCGGCCCGGGUUAGACUAGUAGUGGGCUCUCUUGUGGCCCAUUUCGAUGACGGUCACCCGAAACUAAUGGGCCCCUCCCACGCAGCUGGCUGGGCUCCUGCCGUGGAGCCUGCUUUACGUGGGGCAGCGUUGGUCUCGGCCCACCCCUCCUUCCAACUCCACCCCCCAAAUUUUUUGUUUUUCCUACCAGACUCUGUUAGAGAUCUCUCUUCCUCUAAAAAAUACAUGUUAUAAAUCUCUUCGUUCAUUGUUGGUAUAGAUACUACAAUUCAGAAAGGAUCGCAAGUCAUUUCCUUUCAGUUAAACUACUUCAUCAGGAUGCUACAGAUGACUGCUGCAGGCAGUCGUUCGUUGUCACAGCUUAAUUUUGUAAUGUUGUCACAGGAGGGGAUCUGCGCAUCACUCAGCUCGACUCCUCUUCAUUAGCUUGGCAAUUGACGAGUUAGAGGCACCUUGGUCACCGUGAGACUUUUUUCUCCGUGACAUGUUUGAGGGUUUCCCUCUUGAAGGGUUGGAAUCAAGGCGACUCGACGCAUAAGCUUCUCCCAUCCUCUUUCUGCACUCUUUGCUUGCAGUCUCAUGAUCAACCACUGUAAAACCAAAAGAGUGUUCAAAGGUGCAUUAAUUAUUUCUAACUACGUCUUCAGAUAGUGUUCCUUUUACCUGGUUUCGGGUAGUCUUUGCCAAUAAUACAUUUGGCUUUCUUCUGGAUGCUAAGGGGAGCAGUCCAAGGCUCGUAAAUGUACUCCCUCGGCAUGUCUAAAUUAAUAGAAUAUAGCAUUGUGCAAAAGAAAAAUGUUUAGUUCUCUUUGUCCAAAAAAAUGCUUUCUUCCGGUCAGAUUAACCCCGAAAAAAGUGAUCCAAAAAUGGAUUUGGCCUAAAGUUUCAGGAUAUGUCCGACCAAAGAUUUUACCCACCCAAUAGUAAAAUCCAGCAAAUAAAGCAAAAACGGAGUUCUGACUUCAGAAGUACCUUUCAGCGCUGGAAUGAAAUGUCUGAUGUAGUUCCCAUUAGGAUCAUACUUCUUUCCAAAUGUAAUGGGGGAGUAAAUUCUGUGGUACUGUUUUAUAAGAUUGAAGUAAAGUAAGCAAACUAUUAGGCUGAACAAAAAUGUCCAUAACCAAUGCCAUCUGAAGGAUAUGCGUUGUCUAACCUGAUAGAAGAAGGAUGAGCAAGACAACCACAGCCAAUUGCCAUUGUUAAUGGCCCAGUCAGAGUCAAUCAGUAGCCUUUCAAAGACAUCACGACCUUUCUCCCAGUGGAUAAACUUUAAACGGAAAGUUAAGAAGUUCGUCAUGAGAAACACCAGGUAGAUUGGAAUUAGGCUUUGAAAAUUACUUUAGGUACGUAAUGUCAUUGUCCACAAAUCUUUAAAAAAUGUCAAUGUCCUUAUAAAAAUUUGUUAUGCAACUAAAUGGUUUUAAGAUUCCACCAGCACAAUACUCCAAUGAAUGGCUCAUCAAAACAAUCCAAAACCCAUAUUUUCUAAUUGAAGAGAUUAAUGUAGCAAAAUGGCCAAUUCUCAUGGACUUCCUGUUUCCUUUAGAAAAAUUACAAAGUUGCCAAAAGACCAAAUUUUAAAUUACAAACAUGUAUGUUCUAUCAAGAAGGUUUAAGUAAAACUACGCAAAAAGAAAAGGGACCAAACUAGGCAUAGAAUUCCCAGCAGAGUUUCUUAUCCGAAGCAAGUUUCAUAUAUAAUACCAGAUCACCACGCGUCAGGAAACAAGCAACUGAAUGGCGUGCAAGGUGAUGCAUCCAGCCCCACUUCCUCAGCUAGCAGACAGUACACGAAAAGAACAUUAUCACAUAAACACAUACUCUGGUAGUUAUGUGUGCUGCAAUUAAAGUAACAGAAAACAGAACAAGGAGCAAAGUGCCCUAUUCUUGCGAAGUUCACUAGAGAGAACCUGAAUCAUGAUAGCAUCAAUCCAUGGAUACCCUGUCCGGCUGUCUCUCCAUGCAACAAAUAGCUCCUCAUUCUCACUCCAUGGAAUCUAAACUAAAUGGGAUUAAGUUACAACUAUGCUCGUGAAAUGGCAUCAGUGUAUAGGAUAUGGUUCGAAGGAAGCAAACCUGCUUGCAUAUUUUGUUUCCUUUCAUCUGAUCAAAAUUAGGAGUCCCAAAAGACACUGUGUAGAAGAAGUCUCGCCACAGCAACUGUUACAAGAACAAGAGUCAUGCACUCAGAUCCACCUUAUAAUAAGUCGUGCAGCCUGAUUUUUCCUUCAAGCCCAAUAAAUGCAAUUACAAAUCACCUGGCCUGUCAAUGAAACAGGUGGUUUUGUAUAAUUUCUGACACUCCUGUAGACAUCCUGAAUGCAGUGGUAAAAAUAUCUGGACGACAGGCAGCCAAACUGCAACAUGACAAUCCGUCUCAACACUGCAAUCUAAGAUAAAUGGGGAAGAACAACUACCUGCACCGGGUCAGUGACAAAACUCACCUUGAGAUAUGGUGACAAAACAGUUGUUGCAGGUUUGAGGAAGGCAGAUGGGUCACCCUUAGGUUUCUCAAACUUGGCAACCCAUUCCUACAGAAACAAAAGAAAAUCACAGAGAGAUCAAUUGUACAAACUUUAAAAAAAGAGAUCAAUUGUACAAACAGCUAACAAAAACCAAUGGAUGAAUUGAAUCAGGAUAUGCCAUUCCAGAAGCACCCCACCUUAUUUUCAAGUGAUUCUUUCAUUCUCCUCAGAGCUUCUGUCUCACCUCCUCGGAAUGGCGGAAUCUCCUCCUGCAAAUGGCCAUCCAGCAGUUCAAGCCCCAUCGAGCAGCAACUGAAACACUACUUCUUUGGACCAAUCUUGACUCCGCUCGUACCUGGCUGAUAUCCCCAUACCCAAGCUCCUCCACUGUGGGCACGGGCAACAACUCAUACUCUCCCGUGUCUCCAACCGGUGGGAGUUCAGAGUACUCCUCCAUAAGAGGCUCAGGUGGUUCCCCAGCAAUGGCGAUGAACGAUUGGUACGUCAAAGGCGGCCGACCACCGUUCUGCAAAUGGGCAAAACAAAAAUCAGGUAAGCGGUGAACUCCAAACAUUUGGCCCUGACUUCACUGGUAGUCUGGUACCCGCUAACGAGUGUAUACUAAGAGUAAGAGUGUUCGAGCACGAGUACCUUGUUUAUGAUUUCUGCUGGGUCGAAGAGGGUGUGGCUGACUGGCGUGAACACCUCGAUCCCCGAAGCCAUCGCAAAAUCCUACACGAAAAAAAAAUCUUCAUCGGAUAAGAACUUGUAAGAAAACUACUCGAGAUAAGCGAUCAUGAGCAGAUGAGACUCACCGUGACUUUCUUGUCGCGGACCAGCGCGUACGGCUCAGUGUCGGACUCGAAGCACAGCUUGCCGAUGUUCCACUGCGAUGCAAUUGUAAGUAUGUGCGAUGUACCCGAUGGACGAAGAGAAAAUCCGUUAAAUUUGCAUCGGUCGCGGUGGAGAUGGGCGGAUGCUUACGUCCUUGAGGGCGGCGCAGACGGCGUCGGCGACGUCGUCGCGGGCGCGGAGGAGGAGGAGGCGGGAGCCGAGGCGGCGGAGGCGGGCGUCGAGGUCGCCGAGGCUCUCGAGGAGGAAGCGGACGCGGGCGACCCCGGCGCGCGCGGAGCCCGGGGACGCCGCGGCGGGGUCCGGGCGGAGGUACCGCGGGUCGAGCACGAACACCGGGUACAACCGCCCGGCCCCGCGGCGGGCCGCGUCGAGCGCCGGGUUGUCGUGCACGCGCAGCCCCUUCCGGAACCACACCAUCGCCGCCGCCGUCGCGGCGGUUGCGGCCUCCAUCGCGGCGGGUGCUAUUGCCUGGUUGGGCGUUGGGACGCUCGGAAAGUCAGAAUUGGGGAAUUUUGCCGGCGUCGGAGUGGAGAGAGGGCGCCGGCCGUUGAUGGGCGACUGGGCGGCGGAGGUUUGAACAAGGGAGGUAACCGUAGCGAGUGGCGCGGGGACUGGCCACGUCGGUUUCCUUUUGGCCGUUCCAGUCGUGCCACACGGGAUCCGGUGCGGCUACUUGGACUGCUAGGCCAGAGUGCGGCAGACAAGAGGGAAAACAAAGCCAGCGUACUAGAACAUUCACCUUCCCAAAACCGCAAAAUUAAUGCGUUGCAAGCUGUAUCCAUGCACCAGAUUUAGGCAAUGCAAGGUAACACACUGAAAACAGCUCGGCUCCACAAGACAAAACACAAGUAUACAAGCACACGUUACAUAAAAAACAGUCGGUAUUUGUCUAAAGAACAUCCGGGGAAAUGCAAAAGGAAUAAUGGCAUCCAAGAACAAGAUAUUAUUAUGAUUCUCAUUUGAUUCCACCGACGAAUAGAAACCGUGCAACAUGUUCUACAAAAACAUAUGCUAGGCACAGAUUAUUUGUCUGAAGACAACUGAACCGCAUCCAAGAUCAUCAUCCCAAACAACAUAUGCAACACUCUACAGCCAUAACACCACCAGGGGCUCCUCAAGUAUCAAAACGGCUUCUCUACCGACUACCAGUAGC
Molecule: long non-coding RNA, 4795 nt
Filed under: Setaria viridis
Lineage: Eukaryota; Viridiplantae; Streptophyta; Magnoliopsida; Poales; Poaceae
Description: long non-coding RNA (SVIR_LNC000084)
Source: RNAcentral